ACCCGCACAAGUGGUGGAGCAUGUGGUUUAAUUCGAAGAUACACGAAGAACCUUACCUGGCCUUGACAUGGUAGGAACCCUUAAGAGAUUAGGGGGUGCUAGCUUGCUAGAACCUACACACAGGUGCUGCACGGCUGUCGUCAGCUCGUGUCGUGAGAUGUUGGGUUAAGUCCCGCAACGAGCGCAACCCUCGUCCUUAGUUGCUAACAGUUCGGCUGAGCACUCUAGGGAGACUGCCUUCGCAAGGAGGAGGAAGGUGAGGACGACGUCAAGUCAUCAUGGCCCUUACGGCCAGGGCUACACACGUGCUACAAUGGGGCGUACAGAGAGCUGCGAUACCGCGAGGUGGAGCCAAUCUCUUAAAGCGUCUCUCAGUUCGGAUUGUUCUCUGCAACUCGACUGCGUGAAGUCGGAAUCGCUAGUAAUCGUGAAUCAGAAUGUCCACGGUCGAAUACGUUCCGGGCCUU
RNAcentral lists this ribosomal RNA (467 nucleotides) under uncultured Sulfuricurvum sp. RNAcentral's name for it is "bacterial SSU rRNA". It matches the Rfam family "Bacterial small subunit ribosomal RNA", at positions 919 to 1382 of the family's 1533-position model. Lineage: Bacteria; Pseudomonadati; Campylobacterota; Epsilonproteobacteria; Campylobacterales; Sulfurimonadaceae. The record is from RNAcentral.